UUCUUAGUACGAAAGGACCAGAAGGAGAGUGCCAAUACUACCUAUGAAGCAAGCACUAUCUAAUAAAAUUAAAAAC
Molecule: ribosomal RNA, 76 nt
Filed under: Micropyga tuberculata
Lineage: Eukaryota; Metazoa; Echinodermata; Echinoidea; Micropygoida; Micropygidae
Description: partial 16S ribosomal RNA
Source: RNAcentral